AGGUACCGGCCCGGACUGC
This 19-nucleotide unclassified non-coding RNA is filed under the name Chlamydomonas reinhardtii. RNAcentral describes it as "small RNA Cre_0587". The record is from RNAcentral. Lineage: Eukaryota; Viridiplantae; Chlorophyta; Chlorophyceae; Chlamydomonadales; Chlamydomonadaceae.